This 184-nucleotide small nuclear RNA is filed under the name Naja naja (Indian cobra). Its description in RNAcentral is "U2 spliceosomal RNA (ENSNNAG00000006115.1)". It matches the Rfam family "U2 spliceosomal RNA". Rfam says of the family: U2 is a small nuclear RNA (snRNA) component of the spliceosome (involved in pre-mRNA splicing). Complementary binding between U2 snRNA (in an area lying towards the 5' end but 3' to hairpin I) and the branchpoint sequence (BPS) of the intron results the bulging out of an unpaired adenosine, on the BPS, which initiates a nucleophilic attack at the intronic 5' splice site, thus starting the first of two transesterification reactions that mediate splicing. Lineage: Eukaryota; Metazoa; Chordata; Lepidosauria; Squamata; Elapidae. The record is from Rfam by way of RNAcentral.
AUCGCUUCUCGGCCUUUUGGCUAAGAUCAAGUGUAGUAGUACUUUCAGAUUUUUUAAUGUAGCUUUACAAUAAAGUUGAAUUAGGUUAUGUGAUCAUAUUUCUAUCUGGUUUACCUCGUAAGGCUGAUAGAUGUCUCGUGCUUGCUUCCCUAUUCUUCCAAAUGCAUGUUAAACAUUAGUCUUC